This 113-nucleotide ribosomal RNA is filed under the name uncultured Sulfurimonas sp. Its description in RNAcentral is "partial 16S ribosomal RNA". It matches the Rfam family "Bacterial small subunit ribosomal RNA", at positions 394 to 524 of the family's 1533-position model. The record is from RNAcentral. Lineage: Bacteria; Pseudomonadati; Campylobacterota; Epsilonproteobacteria; Campylobacterales; Sulfurimonadaceae.
ACGCCGCGUGGAGGAUGACGCAUUUCGGUGUGUAAACUCCUUUUAUAUGUCAAGAAAAUGACGGUAGCAUAUGAAUAAGCACCGGCUAACUCCGUGCCAGCAGCCGCGGUAAU